This 610-nucleotide ribosomal RNA is filed under the name Salmonella enterica subsp. enterica serovar Infantis. RNAcentral describes it as "partial 23S ribosomal RNA". It matches the Rfam family "Bacterial large subunit ribosomal RNA", at positions 2194 to 2803 of the family's 2925-position model. The record is from RNAcentral. Lineage: Bacteria; Pseudomonadati; Pseudomonadota; Gammaproteobacteria; Enterobacterales; Enterobacteriaceae.
GAAAUACCACCCUUUAAUGUUUGAUGUUCUAACGUGGAUCCGUAAUCCGGGUUGCGGACAGUGUCUGGUGGGUAGUUUGACUGGGGCGGUCUCCUCCUAAAGAGUAACGGAGGAGCACGAAGGUUGGCUAAUCCUGGUCGGACAUCAGGAGGUUAGUGCAAUGGCAUAAGCCAGCUUGACUGCGAGCGUGACGGCGCGAGCAGGUGCGAAAGCAGGUCAUAGUGAUCCGGUGGUUCUGAAUGGAAGGGCCAUCGCUCAACGGAUAAAAGGUACUCCGGGGAUAACAGGCUGAUACCGCCCAAGAGUUCAUAUCGACGGCGGUGUUUGGCACCUCGAUGUCGGCUCAUCACAUCCUGGGGCUGAAGUAGGUCCCAAGGGUAUGGCUGUUCGCCAUUUAAAGUGGUACGCGAGCUGGGUUUAGAACGUCGUGAGACAGUUCGGUCCCUAUCUGCCGUGGGCGCUGGAGAACUGAGGGGGGCUGCUCCUAGUACGAGAGGACCGGAGUGGACGCAUCACUGGUGUUCGGGUUGUCAUGCCAAUGGCACUGCCCGGUAGCUAAAUGCGGAAGAGAUAAGUGCUGAAAGCAUCUAAGCACGAAACUUGCCCCGAG